ACACAGUGCAGUAAUAAUCAAAAUUAGUGCGUGCUAGGAUGAAUAAUCUUGAAUAAAGUACUUAUGAUUUAUGAGUGGCAAUGUAUUUUAUCACGCGCGCGUGUGCGUCGCUCUAUUAUUUUAAUGUCACGUUUAUUCCGACUAACCUGAUCCGUGAUAUUUCGAGAGACAUGGUUCUGGCGAAAAAAAAAGUUAACCGCUGAAAAUGUCACGUGAAAGCGCAGUUGCAAUCGCACCUACUCGUUUUAAGCGAUAUAGAAAUUAUUUUGUGUAUAUGCACACAGAUGCGUGCUACGCGUACUCAAAAGAGCAGAUAAUAUACGAUAGAUACGAUAAUAAUAUGUACUUCCGUUUUUAUGGAAAGGAGAUAGGGAGUAAGAGUAAGAAACACGUUGCUCUUUGCACGAGCGCCUCUUUAGCAUCUUAUCUAUAUUUAUCAUCAGAACCGAUGUAUUCUAACAAUAGUGACAGCGAUAUUGCAAAAUCAAAGCUCGUGACUGAUCCGAAACGAUGGAAUUUCAAGCAAUAACCAAGAUCUUAUUAAAUUCGACAUAAUUCAUUAAGCUCUCGGAUCUCGGAUAGUGCGAAAAAGCAACAUUACAAAUUGGACGCAGUGCUUGCGUAUUGUUCGCGCGAAAAGCGUUUGCGAUUAGAAGCACGAUCUUUGCACUCACGUGGAAGAAUGGCGCGUGAACGGACGUCGAAAACGGGGAUCCGGGCGGCGGAACGAACUAACGGGCAAACCGGCAACGAAACAACGGGAAACGAGCAUGCCUCGUCUUGCGGCACCGCGCGUGUCCUCCGACUUCCCGCCCUAAGCGCCGCCAAUUUUUCGUCGACCUAUUUCGAGAUGUCCAUCUACUUGCGAUUCUCGAUGCGCUCACGCGUCGGAUUUCGCUUCAGUCUGCAGUCUAUUGUGUUUUCAGCAUUUUAAAACGGAAUAAGUCUUUCGCGAGAUUGCGUUAUCACAUGACCGAUAUUCAUGGAAAUUAUUCGUCAGUGUGAAUUCGUCAUCGAGGAUAAUUCGUAAUGCGAGAGAUGAAUCAGUUAUUCGAUGAUUAUAUGAUAGUCGCGUAUGUUAAGCGAGAAGAAAGUAAUUGUGUGUAGCUCGCGAUUAGACUAAAAACGUUAGUCUACGCCGAAACCUAUCAAAGUAGAACAUUCGAUACGAAGAAACUUGGAGAUUUUAUACAAUUUUAUAUUUAAUUGGGAUGACGAAUAUAA
Camponotus floridanus (Florida carpenter ant) is the source of this 1224-nucleotide long non-coding RNA. RefSeq lists it as uncharacterized. NCBI's taxonomy places the organism in Eukaryota, Metazoa, Arthropoda, Insecta, Hymenoptera, Formicidae. The record is from RefSeq and is a predicted model, not a curated record. The transcript is spliced from 3 exons.